UUCUAACACAAAACUAAUUACCUUUCUUCGAAAUAAUGGUUCUUUAAUCAUUUUAGAAUAUCAAUUAAUCAUUUUAGAAUAUCAAACAAUAAUGAUCGACGAAACUAACUUCGGGCCAGUUCAAAUAUUAUUGGGUUAGAUAACAUGGAUCAAUGAGUUAGAUGAGAUUACAACCUAUAAUUAUGAUAAAUAUAUUGUUAUAUUUUUAUACUACUCAUAAGUUUCAAUUAAAUGUUAUUUUAGCAUUUUAUUGUUACAUAAAUAAUUACAUUAUAAUUUAAUGAAAUUUAUAGAUAUAUAAUUCUAAUUAUUAACUGAAAAAUAAUUUGAUCUAAUAAAUAAUAUUAAUUAUCUUAGAUAUUAUUGCUUAAAUAAAUUGAAUUUUUAAUUUGUAUAAAAGGGUUAAAGUGAUAUUCUCCAUAAAACAGAUAAAAUACUCAAUCCGUUUCCGAAAGUAAAAUUUUGUAGAGCUUUUACGUUUAUUAAGAAUAUAAUAAAUGUUUACAAUUUAAUUUGGAAUUUAUUUUUCAAUACACUUUCUAAUAACUAUCAAUCAAUAAAAUUUAAUCAAUUUAAAUAUUCACAAUUAAUACUUCUCAAAAGUAUAUAAAAGUAUCUUAAAAAUAUAAAUUUUUUUUUUUUAUAAACCAAAAAUAAACUCUAAAAAAUCUUACUUUUUGGAAAAGUAUUACAUGUUACUAGGUAUUAAUCUUUCCAACUUUCGCUAUGAAACUUUGUUGACUAAACUAUCUUUAUCGCACAACUAAAAGGUAACUAUUAACAAAACAU
RNAcentral lists this long non-coding RNA (789 nucleotides) under Brassica napus (rape). RNAcentral's name for it is "long non-coding RNA (BNAP_LNC013643)". Lineage: Eukaryota; Viridiplantae; Streptophyta; Magnoliopsida; Brassicales; Brassicaceae. The record is from RNAcentral.